GGCAAAUAUGCUAAAUAACAUAUAUGUGCUCACCUAUUUUCACAGCUCUCCUCUUAGGUAGAUGGUAUCCUCAUUUUACAGCUGAAGAAACAAGUUUAGCCAAGUGAAGUAACUUGUCCACAGUCCCCCAGCAAGUAAGUCACAGGGACUCAAGUCUUUAACUCCAAAUCUCACCCUCUCAUGCUGUCACUCAAUAUACUAGUAGGGUUCAACCUGAG
This 218-nucleotide long non-coding RNA is filed under the name Homo sapiens (human). RNAcentral describes it as "LHRI_LNC1871.1". Lineage: Eukaryota; Metazoa; Chordata; Mammalia; Primates; Hominidae. The record is from RNAcentral.